GAGUUUGAUCAUGGCUCAGAUUGAACGCUGGCGGCAUGCCUUACACAUGCAAGUCGAACGGUAACAGGUCUUCGGAUGCUGACGAGUGGCGAACGGGUGAGUAAUACAUCGGAACGUGCCCGAUCGUGGGGGGAUAACGAAGCGAAAGCUUUGCUAAUACCGCAUAAGAUCUACGGAUGAAAGCAGGGGACCGCAAGGCCUUGCGCGAACGGAGCGGCCGAUGGCAGAUUAGGUAGUUGGUGGGAUAAAAGCUUACCAAGCCGACGAUCUGUAGCUGGUCUGAGAGGACGACCAGCCACACUGGGACUGAGACACGGCCCAGACUCCUACGGGAGGCAGCAGUGGGAAUUUUGGACAAUGGGCGAAAGCCUGAUCCAGCCAUGCCGCGUGCAGGAUGAAGGCC
This 403-nucleotide ribosomal RNA is filed under the name uncultured microorganism. Its description in RNAcentral is "bacterial SSU rRNA". It matches the Rfam family "Bacterial small subunit ribosomal RNA", at positions 9 to 416 of the family's 1533-position model. The record is from RNAcentral.